CCUACGGGAGGCAGCAGUGAGGAAUAUUGGUCAAUGGGCGCUAGCCUGAACCAGCCAAGUAGCGUGAAGGAUGACUGCCCUAUGGGUUGUAAACUUCUUUUAUAUGGGAAUAAAGUGCAGUAUGUAUACUGCUUUGCAUGUACCUUAUGAAUAAGGAUCGGCUAACUCCGUGCCAGCAGCCGCGGUAAUACGGAGGAUCCGAGCGUUAUCCGGAUUUAUUGGGUUUAAAGGGAGCGUAGGUGGGUUGUUAAGUCAGUUGUGAAAGUUUGCGGCUCAACCGUAAAAUUGCAGUUGAUACUGGCAGCCUUGAGUACAGUAGAGGUAGGCGGAAUUCGUGGUGUAGCGGUGAAAUGCUUAGAUAUCACGAAGAACUCCGAUUGCGAAGGCAGCCUGCUGAACUGUCACUGACGCUGAUGCUCGAAAGUGUGGGUAUCAAACAGGAUUAGAUACCCUUGUAGUC
This 460-nucleotide ribosomal RNA is filed under the name uncultured bacterium. Its description in RNAcentral is "partial 16S ribosomal RNA". It matches the Rfam family "Bacterial small subunit ribosomal RNA", at positions 338 to 795 of the family's 1533-position model. The record is from RNAcentral.